GGAUUCCCCUAGUAACGGCGAGUGAAGCGGAACAGCUCAAAUUUGUAAUCUGGUCACUUUGUGUCCGAGUUGUAACUAGAGAAGUGUUAUCUGUAUUGGACCACUUAUGAGUCUAUUGGAAUAUAGCGUCAUAGAGGGUGAGAAUCCCGUUCAUGAUGUGGACUACCAGUACUUUGUGUUACAUCUUCAAAGAGUCGAGUUGUUUGGGAAUGCAGCUCAAAUUGGGUGGUAAAUUCCAUCUAAAGCUAAAUAUUGGCGGGAGACCGAUAGCGAACAAGUACCGUGAGGAAAGAUGAAAAGCACUUUGGAAAGAGAGUCAAAUAGUACGUGAAAUUGUUGAAAGGGAAACACUUGAAGUCAGACAUGCUUGUGGGGUUCAGCCUUUGGGUGUAUUCCUCCACUUUGCAGGCUAGCAUCAGUUUUGUGGGCUGGAAAAGGGCUUGAGGAAGGUGGCAUCUUCGGGUGUGUUAUAGCCUCUUGCUUGAUACAGCCUGGGAGACUGAGGAUCGCAGCGCACCUCGCGGCAUUGCCUUUGGCCUUUUUGCGCUUAGGAUGCU
This 557-nucleotide ribosomal RNA is filed under the name Neogloea variabilis. RNAcentral describes it as "eukaryotic LSU rRNA". It matches the Rfam family "Eukaryotic large subunit ribosomal RNA", at positions 72 to 627 of the family's 3401-position model. The record is from RNAcentral. Lineage: Eukaryota; Fungi; Basidiomycota; Atractiellomycetes; Atractiellales; Helicogloeaceae.